This 440-nucleotide ribosomal RNA is filed under the name uncultured bacterium. Its description in RNAcentral is "partial 16S ribosomal RNA". It matches the Rfam family "Bacterial small subunit ribosomal RNA", at positions 339 to 795 of the family's 1533-position model. The record is from RNAcentral.
CUACGGGCUGCACCAGUGGGGAAUAUUGCACAAUGGGCGCAAGCCUGAUGCAGCAACGCCGCGUGAGUGAAGAAGGCCUUCGGGUCGUAAAGCUCUGUCCUCUGGGACGAAUAAAUGACGGUACCAGAGGAGGAAGCCCCGGCUAACUACGUGCCAGCAGCCGCGGUAAUACGUAGGGGGCAAGCGUUAUCCGGAAUCACUGGGCGUAAAGGGUGCGUAGGUGGUCUAUCAAGUCAGAAGUGAAAGGCAGUGGCUCAACCAUUGUAAGCUUUUGAAACUGAUGGACUUGAGUGUAGGAGAGGUAAGUGGAAUUCCUAGUGUAGCGGUGAAAUGCGUAGAUAUUAGGAGGAACACCAGUGGCGAAGGCGACUUACUGGACUAUUACUGACACUGAGGCACGAAAGCGUGGGGAGCGAACAGGAUUAGAUACCCCUGUAGUC